Molecule: ribosomal RNA, 450 nt
Filed under: Burkholderia sp. MRh3(9)
Lineage: Bacteria; Pseudomonadati; Pseudomonadota; Betaproteobacteria; Burkholderiales; Burkholderiaceae
Description: bacterial SSU rRNA
Rfam family: Bacterial small subunit ribosomal RNA
Source: RNAcentral
UGCAGUCGAACGGCAGCACGGGGGCAACCCUGGUGGCGAGUGGCGAACGGGUGAGUAAUACAUCGGAACGUGUCCUGGAGUGGGGGAUAGCCCGGCGAAAGCCGGAUUAAUACCGCAUACGCUCUAUGGAGGAAAGCGGGGGAUCUUCGGACCUCGCGCUCAAGGGGCGGCCGAUGGCAGAUUAGGUAGUUGGUGGGGUAAAGGCCUACCAAGCCGACGAUCUGUAGCUGGUCUGAGAGGACGACCAGCCACACUGGGACUGAGACACGGCCCAGACUCCUACGGGAGGCAGCAGUGGGGAAUUUUGGACAAUGGGGGCAACCCUGAUCCAGCAAUGCCGCGUGUGUGAAGAAGGCCUUCGGGUUGUAAAGCACUUUUGUCCGGAAAGAAAACUUCGCUCCUAAUACGGGUGGAGGAUGACGGUACCGGAAGAAUAAGCACCGGCUAACU